Molecule: unclassified non-coding RNA, 317 nt
Organism: Bos indicus x Bos taurus (hybrid cattle)
Lineage: Eukaryota; Metazoa; Chordata; Mammalia; Artiodactyla; Bovidae
Gene: 7SK
Rfam family: 7SK RNA
About the family: 7SK was discovered as an abundant small nuclear RNA in the mid-70s but a possible function has only recently been suggested. Two independent studies have found that 7SK RNA binds the CDK9/cyclin T complex (known as elongation factor P-TEFb).
Source: Ensembl
GGGAGCUCUGGCUGCAACAUAAGUCAGCCCACUGAUUGCCAAGUUUGGUUUGACAUAACUGGCAAGGCAGGGGUCUUCACAACUCCAUGUGCAUCCUCCCUGUACCUGUGCACAGGUACAGUAGGUGUACCUGUACCACCUACUCGGUGGAAAAGGACAACCUUCCUGAUAUAGGAGGAUGAUCACAUGGUCAAAUGCACACCAGGAGCUGUACUCCCUUGUUAGAACGUCCAAACAAGAUCUCCAAUAAGAACAACCUCAUAAGCAUUAAAAGACUAUAUACAUGCAUAAAGCACAUAAAAUAACACCUGACCUAU